CCUACGGGAGGCUGCAGUGGGGAAUAUUGCACAAUGGGGGCAACCCUGAUGCAGCGACGCCGCGUGAGUGAAGAAGUAUUUCGGUAUGUAAAGCUCUAUCAGCAGGGAAGAAGAAAGACGGUACCUGACUAAGAAGCCCCGGCUAACUACGUGCCAGCAGCCGCGGUAAUACGUAGGGGGCAAGCGUUAUCCGGAUUGACGGGGUGUAAAGGGAGCGUAGACGGCCGUGCAAGUCUGCAGUGAAAGCCCGUGGCUCAACCGCGGAACUGCCUUGGAGACUGCAUGGCUUGAGUCCUGGAGAGGCAGGCGGAAUUCCUGGUGUAGCGGUGAAAUGCGUAGAUAUCAGGAGGAACACCAGUGGCGAAGGCGGCCUGCUGGACAGAAACUGACGUUGAGGCUCGAAAGCGUGGGGAGCAAACAGGAUUAGAUACCCGUGUAGUC
Molecule: ribosomal RNA, 441 nt
Filed under: uncultured bacterium
Lineage: Bacteria
Description: partial 16S ribosomal RNA
Rfam family: Bacterial small subunit ribosomal RNA
Source: RNAcentral